CAAUAGCGUAUAUUAAAGUUGUUGCAGUUAAAAAGCUCGUAGUUGGAUUUCUGGUAGGAGUGACCGUUCCGAACUUGAUUGUUCGUGUAUUGUGUUUUCUCCAGCCAUCCUUGUGGAGAACUUUUCUUGCAUUAAUUUGUAGGGAUUGGGACCCGCAUCGUUUACUGUGAAAAAAUUAGAGUGUUUAAAGCAGGCAAACGCUUGAAUACAUUAGCAUGGAAUAAUAAGAUAGGACUUUGGUACUAUUUUGUUGGUUUGCAUACCAAAUUAAUGAUCAACAGGAACAGUUUGAGGAUAUUCGUAUGAACAUGUCAGAGGUGAAAUUCUUGGAUUUUGAUCAGACGAACUACUGCGAAAGCAUUUAUCAAGGAUGUUUUCAUUAA
This 383-nucleotide ribosomal RNA is filed under the name uncultured eukaryote. Its description in RNAcentral is "partial 18S ribosomal RNA". It matches the Rfam family "Eukaryotic small subunit ribosomal RNA", at positions 592 to 976 of the family's 1831-position model. The record is from RNAcentral.